GACGAACGCUGGCGGCGUGCCUAAUACAUGCAAGUUGAGCGAUGAAGGUUGGUGCUUGCACCAAUUUGAAGAGCAGCGAACGGGUGAGUAACGCGUGGGGAAUCUGCCUUUGAGCGGGGGACAACAUUUGGAAACGAAUGCUAAUACCGCAUAACAACUUUAAACAUAAGUUUUAAGUUUGAAAGAUGCAAUUGCAUCACUCAAAGAUGAUCCCGCGUUGUAUUAGCUAGUUGGUGAGGUAAAGGCUCACCAAGGCGAUGAUACAUAGCCGACCUGAGAGGGUGAGCGGCCACAUUGGGACUGAGACACGGCCCAAACUCCUACGGGAGGCAGCAGUAGGGAAUCUUCGGCAAUGGACGAAAGUCUGACCGAGCAACGCCGCGGGAGUGAAGAAGGUUUUCGGAUCGUAAAACUCUGUUGGUAGAGAAGAACGUUGGUGAGAGUGGAAAGCUCAGCAAGUGACGGUAACUACCCAGAAAGGGACGGCUAACUACGUG
This 497-nucleotide ribosomal RNA is filed under the name uncultured bacterium. RNAcentral's name for it is "partial 16S ribosomal RNA". It matches the Rfam family "Bacterial small subunit ribosomal RNA", at positions 28 to 507 of the family's 1533-position model. The record is from RNAcentral.